UGCCGUUCGCGAGUUUUUAGAGCAUAGUUUUUCUCCGAGUUGUAUUGCUUUUCCCGAAGGGGUCGAAUAGCUGCCCUGGUUAGUGGCGAGGUUUGGCGCAGUCGCUGGCUGUGCAUGGUGACGGCGUUUCGGGCUUAUUUAGCUCUCGAUCAGUCUGGAUUGUGUGGCAGCGCACGGAUAUUCGCACAAAUGCAUGCAAUUCAUGUCCAGGGAGAGGUCUCUGAGUUAGCUGUCUCUCGCUGGAGACUAACCUGUGCCAGGGAGCCUGGGCUUGUGUAUCACUACGUGUUGCAACACAGGUCCUGUUUGGGUACAUUUGAUCUCCUUGAGCCUUUGGGCAGAGUCGUGAGUGAUGGGAUAUUUGAUCUGAGUGGAUUUUGUGAGCCAUAGUACAAAGUCCCUAGGAUGUGUGUGCCUGUAUUCUGGGGUGUGCAUUUUUGGAGCUCUCUGGCCUUUCAGUCCCUGGGUGUGAGAUCCCUUUGUAGGCGUGUGCACCUGAGAUUGUGAGACCUCUGAGUUUUUGAUUCUGGCCCCAAGUUGUGAUGUCUCUGAGCUGCUUUAAGGAUGGGUUUGUCUAAAGGUGCGAAGUCUCAGCUGCUUGGGGAUCUGUGCACAGGGUGCAGGUUUUCCAUUUGUCUGGGGACUUUAUCUGAAGGGUACAUGAUGUUUUUGAGUUAUUAAAAGUUCUCUUUCCGUUUAGGGUUUUUGCAUUAGGUUGGUAAGUGUCCGAGUGGUUUGGGAGUCAGUCUCCAUGGUGUGAAGUAUCUGUGCAGUUCUCAUUUGUUUCUGUCUUGAAGACUUUGGUCUGUUUGGAUGGUCUUUGUCACAGCGUGUAUGGUUAUGGUCUCAGCUGUGUUUGAGGGUCUGAGACAAGUUGUGUGCUGUCUGUGCAGAGAUUCAGUGAGCUCUUUUUGGUGUCUCUGGGUAUCUAUCUGGGCUGUCUGGAGUCUCUGUGUCAGAAAUAAAACCUCUUAUGUUCUUGACUGUGAUGUCUCUGUCCAGGAACUGAGGGUUUGGAAACUGGCAGACAUGAUUCCAAGACAUGGAACCUGACGUGCUGACUGUGUGUUGUUGAGCAUAUCAGUUGUCUCCUGGAAUCUCAGUAUGUAUCAUAAUUAAUACAGUGGGGCCAGUGCAUGUUUUGCAGGGUACCUGUGCAUGUUAGCGAUGUGUGCAAAGGGCCUCGCUUCAGACUAUCCUUCAGCAAAUGUUUUCUGAGCACCUUUCAUAUACAUGAGCACUGCUGGAGGAGUUUGUGACAGGACAGAACUGACCAAGUCUCUCCUUUCAUAGACUUGGUGGUCAGUAAAUAAAUCAAGGGUGGCAGGCACUAUGAAGAAAGAUAAUGCUAGAUCAGGGGAAAGGGUAUAUGUAGGUAUGAUGUUCUUAUUUUGUUCAAGGUAAGGAGGGAAAGUCUCCCUGAAAGAUGGCAAGUAAGCAGAGAUCUGGAGGAAGUGAGGGAGCAGGCUAUGGGGUUAUCUAAGGGAAGAGCAUUCCAGGCAGAAGGAACAACAAAUGCAACUGUCCUGGCAUGGAAAUCUACUUGGCGAGCUCCUGAAUGUCAAGGAGUCCUGCGAUGCACUGGGUUUGAGCAUCCGCAACUGUACCCUGUGUAAAGGCUGGGGUGAAGUGAGAAGACCCGGUGACUUUGGUGCCCGUCCACAGCUGGUGGCACACCAGGUCUGGAUAAGGGAAAUAUGUUAACAAGAGCAGAAAGACAUUUCGAGGAAUUGAAGGACACUUCUCUGCCUCUGCCCAUUUGGUAUCAAGACGGGUUCAAUAAACAACAGAAGUCUGGGAAAUUAAUCUUACGGGGAAAGGGAUAUGCUUGUAUUUCCCCAGAUGGAUCCAACAAACUUUUUCCUCGAAACAUGCAACCCAAGGGGGCCCCCGACAUUCAAAAUGGAGACAAAACGACAAGAACCCCGGGAGGAAGAAAUUCCAAUACGGGCCAUGGCGGCUCUAAAGAUCUCCAGAAAGCGCCGCCCUCGGCGGCAUCAACCCUAUGACCUCCCCUCUUGGGGACAAAUAAAAACCCUCACUAAUCAA
This is a long non-coding RNA of Cervus elaphus (red deer), 2049 nucleotides long. RefSeq lists it as uncharacterized. Lineage: Eukaryota; Metazoa; Chordata; Mammalia; Artiodactyla; Cervidae. The record is from RefSeq and is a predicted model, not a curated record. The transcript is spliced from 3 exons.